CCUUAGUAUUGUAAUUAUUUUAAUAAUUAUAGUGCACUAUUGAAAUAAAAACACAUUUCCUCUUUCUCUGCCACUUUUUUGGUGUAAUGGGACAUUCAGAGCUUGAAAGAAACCACCACAUAAGUAGUCAUUUCAUCUGUAUCUGUUAAAUGAAUUGCUUUUCCCAGACAUCUAAUUUAUCCAGAGAACAUCUCCUUGGUCAGUAUUACAAAUUGUUUUUAUUUUCUUACACUUGCUUAUUAAUAAUUUUCCAUGUCAUGUCUGUCAUCAGAGAAGGAAGGUCACAUUCAAUAUUUCUCCAUUUCUCUUUUCUUUUUUCCCACUCAUACUCUAGAUUGAAAACUUAGCUAAGUAAAAACAAUUGGUUCAAAUCUUAUUUGAAUUAUGGACACAUUAUUCUCAGUAAAAUAAAUCUUGAGUUUAAAUCCCAUUAUCUUGUGUAAAUUUUUUUAAUUCAAUCUUGGCAAAACAUGCAUAUUUUAAAGAUAUGACCUAUAAUUUUUUCUCUUGACUUUUGUGUUUGGCAGGAGUUCACAGACUUUGCUAACAAUUUUAACAGAUAUGCUUUAAUUUAAUAACUACAAUUUGGUAAUUAGCUGGAGUCGCAUUUCAAAAUGCAAUUGAUAUGAUUUGGCUGGAUUUAUCUGUAUUCUAGAAAAUACAGGACAGUCGUAUAGAUACUGGUGUUGUUACUCUGUUCAUAUUCACACUUUUACCUUGCAUCAUUCCUGAGACACAGAAUUUUUGAUAUUCUGCCACAAUCUAUUCCCAAAACAUCACUGAUGACAAAACGAUAAUAAUCUUUGGAAACAUUUCCUCUCAAGUUCCAAAGUUUUCAGUCAGUAGAAAAAAAAGAAAGAAGACAAAAUUUUAAAGGUGCUGAGAAAAGCCCAGGGCUCACAGCUGGUUUCAGCAACUUCAACUUGCGUAAGACCCCGUGUUUGUGAAAACAACCCAAGAAUCUUUGAACAGGAUGUAAUCAACCUCCGAACUGCUGAGAAAUAUUGCAAAAAUGACUUCAGCUGCCAAAAAUAAUGUCGUUUACAAGCAGCUCUUCCUAUGUCUAAGGAAGAACUAGUCACACAUGCGAGUUUUUGCUGGCUUGAGAACAAGCAAGGAAAAAGACAAAUCCCACCUACCCUAGCCUAAAAUACACAGUGAGUCUCAGAACCCCGCGGAAGCUGUGGCUCAUUUCUAAAGGUGCUGGCAAUAUCGAGGAAGACUUGUAUCCACAAAAUUCCAAAUGAGAGUAAACUUGAAGCCUGAAAUUGCAGCACUCAUUUGGUGACCAGGAGUGGGCAAACAGAAGGACAAAGGCCUACAAGAUUAAAUAAUCAAGUCAUUAUUGUGAAUUUGGAUCUAAAUGACCUGGCAGAAACCAUGGAGAUGAUCUUGGAUUUAAAGAGGAAAAACUCAAAGCAAUGUAUUCUGAUCAAGAAAUGGCAGGAAAUGGCAGCUACCUGAUAUGGAACAAUCAACAACUGAAGGUUUAUUUUGAAUGAGAGGUGUUGUCCAACUGCGAGACGGAGUGAUUGAAGCUGAGAAUAAAUGGAAACACAAUCAAUAGUCACUCCAGUGAGGUAGGAAAGAAAGCCAUUCCGAAGUGGCAGAGAAGCUGCUUUUUCCUCCUGCAUGCUGCCUGCUAGUGUGGAUCUUGGCAUAACAGACACUACUUGGCAAAAGAUCCAUCCUUCCUUUUCCUAUACUUUGCUCAGCGGCCUGGAAGAUUGACCUCAAAAGCAAAAUCACCUGGAUUUCCUUGCCAUUUGGCUUUCAAAUGUGCUCAGCCAAUGACAGGCUGGAAAGAAAUUGACAGCUGGGAAAAGAGGAAGAUUUGUGUACAAGAUCCCUUCCACUCCCAUCUCAUUACCUGCCAUGGUCCUAGCAGUGGCUGUUCUUAUUAUGGC
This 1907-nucleotide long non-coding RNA is filed under the name Homo sapiens (human). RNAcentral describes it as "HSALNT0301918". The record is from RNAcentral. Lineage: Eukaryota; Metazoa; Chordata; Mammalia; Primates; Hominidae.